GCGUCGGCGUGCUCCUAAAGCUCGAUGCCCGGCCCCUUUCCCGCCGAGAUAACAGCCGUGCCCCUUUCCUCUCCUCUUCCUCCUCUUUCCCCCGUUUCUUCUCCCUCCUGCUUCUCUCUUCGUGUUCUUCUUCCCUGCUACCCACUCCGGCGGCAGCUCGACCUCCUCCGGCUCCGCGCGGCUGAGCUCCGCCGCCUCCGCGACCGCGUGAGCACGAGCUUCGUUGUCCCCAUCACGCGAGCGAGAUCCAUGGCGGCCCCCCUACGCUUCCUCCCCAGCUUCGAUGCCUCUGCAUCCGCGUCGACCGGCCAUGGUUCAACUCGACCUCCUCGGUUUCCACCUACGCUCCGCAGCUGCCGCCCGCUCCGCGGGAUCCAGAUCCAGCCUCCCCCUCCACCUCCUCAUCCCCGCUCCCCCCGUCCUCACUCUGCUCCUCCAUCCACCCCCACGCGCCCGCUCCGCCGGUGCAUCUCCUUGGCCAGACCGCACAGCAUCGGCAGCGCCAUCCCCUCCUCCACGGCAGUCCCGCCGGGCAUGGCGCAGCUCGCCAAGUCCGCCUCCAUCAUCAGGCGGCCUCCCGCUGAACAAGUCUGACCUCAACCACCAUCGAUCUGGCUUAGCCUCCAGAAGCCCGUGGUGCGCGCGCCGCAAGCUCCAGCAAGCAGAUCUGGUGAGGUGGUAACGACUGUUGUGAGGAGGUCUACACCGUGUUCGUCUGCUUGGACUGCAGUAAAGCAUGCACUUUGUUAAUUAAAUCAUCUUAAAUUCUGGUGUGAUUUUCCCAUCUGGAUGGUAAACUUUGAUUUUCAGCUAAGUGUUUGUUCUUUUUCCAGUGCGAAGUAAUGGAACAGAUUAAUUGAUAUGCUUCUUCUUUCUCUUGAAGAAUCUGAUUAAAGUAAUAAAAUUGAACAUGCCCCUCCUUUCUCUGAUGAGCCUUUCCUUUACUUUCUCCAUGUUUAUGUGAAGCUUUCAAUUUUCUGUUAAAACUGUGCCGCAGGUUGCAAGACUUAAAUGCUAGAAGCCAGAAACAAGGGUUCCAUUGGUUACUCAAUUAAAUUUGAAGAUACUCCAUGUUUUCUAAAUUCCAAAAAAAGAUUAGUCUUCGACUGGCCAUCUGAGCAUUGUAUGGGAUUGUUCUUUCUUUCUUGUAUACCAAAAAAAACAAAGUGCAGCAGUCUGAACCUUUUCUGAUCAGAGAGCAUUACUCUGAUAAAAUAAAAUACAUGUAAGCUUCUACCCUCAUAUAUACACUGCUUAGAUGAAUAUUAUUUUUAUCAAUGCUAAUCGCUAUCCUGCAUUUGUGAUUCACACUGCUCAUGUUUUUGAUGUUAAUGAAGGCCUUGCCUGCAUCUGUUUCAGUGAAAUAGGCAACAUCAAAUUUAGUUUUGUGUGAUUUCAAAUUCACCUGCGGUGAGAUUAACUUCUUGCCACAGCAAACAGUAAUUAUUUGGAGCUAACUCAUGGGAUAUGACAAGUAAUCCUUUCUGUUGUUUGUUCUAAUUGUUUGCCUAAUUGCAAUUACUAAUUCGUUACAAUUUGAGAUUGUUAGUAAUUGUUUUGGUCUCCUGUUGGCAUUAAUUUGUAUCCACUUGAGGCUGAGUACAGUAAAAGAAUACUUGUGGCCAGUGAUGCAUAAUAAGGGCCAUGCUCGUGCCUCCUUUAGUUUCAGUUAUAGAAGUUUCAGUUAUAAAGAACCUAACCUAUCUUGUUGCCUGUAUAUGGAAUCGGGAUAGCAAUUUUAUAUGUAUUGAUCACUCAAUGUUAAUAUAUUCUGACAUGAUUUGAUUUGAGUAUACUGUACUAUUUUCAGCAUGCUUGUUGGUUUAUCAUAAGUAUUUUCUUAUUACGAUUGAAGCAAACUAACCUUCUGGAUAUGUAUAACUAAAUGGCAUUUGAAUUACUCUUAUGUUACUAUAUCCUUUGUAGCAAAUAUUGAUGCAUCAUACUCAUUGGCAAUCAUGCAUGUUCUGAAGCCAUCAAACUCCUGAAGGAUUGUGUGUGGCCGCACAAGUUGAGUUGAUCUCAUCCUAUCUAUGUAUGCUGGAUUUACUCGGCUCACAAGAGUUGAUAUGCUAAUUAUCAAAUGUAUAUACCCAACCUGAACAAUAUUGAAUUAAAUAUACAGUGUUUAAUCAAAUAUAGAACAUAUCAUGUUCCAGUGUCACAAUUUCUAAUAUUGUUGUCAUGAUAGGGCACUCAAAGUGUUUAGGGUAAGUCUGUUUGUUAAAUGAUGAUGACAAUAGGAGCCUUUUAAUUACCUUCUGAUAGUAAAGGGUGAAGAAUUUAUGUUGUCUUAAAUAUUAUUUUGAUUUUAUUGCUGGAUUUGAUUGUUCAAACAGUAGGGCGAGCAUCGCGCGCCGAAAGUUCUAGUCAAGAUCAACAGGACGGGGUGCCUGACAAUACAUCCUGCCACUAGGCUUAGGACGGGGAGGUGCACCGCACUACCUGUGCCCAUUGUGCAUGGGCUCGAUACGGGAACAAGCGAUCCAACCACCCAACCUACGGCCAGAUCGUUGACAAGGGCACCAAGACCCCUAGGCCACUGCAAGUCAAGGCCGCCUGUAAGGACGACCACGCACAUGCCAUGCCCUAUGACAGGGUUUGGCAGACCGGACUAGAGAAAUGUUUGGUACUGUGGUUGAUCUGAUGAUCGGCACCCAGCAUCACGACGCGAUGGAGCAUGACCAGCCCUAUGAAGACCUUUAGCUAGAACGCGUGUAACGCUCCUGACCUCACCCGCGGGAUGUCCACCAAGGGUUGAUGAGGGACCCCUUUCUCUUGCUGUAACGCAGCCCCCAAGACAUAUAAAUGGGGAGCUGGGCUUUCGCAACUUUUGAAUGGUUCAGAGCACACACGCACACACACAUUCACCUGCUUGCAAGCACCCUGUUGUAAGCACACAGCACUCAAACACAAGGAAAGAAUAACAGGCCAGGCACUGAUAAUGGACGUAGGGUGAUUGCUCGAACCACUCUAGACCCCUGCGUUCUGAGUGUUAGUCAUUGAGUUAUGGAGAAUUGCAGCGUACUUUAUGGUGAACCAUGGACAAAUAAAUAUGUACAUCAAGAUAUAUAAUUGCACAUAGUAUGGAGUGCUGAAUUAUUAUGUAGUUGUGAUAUCUCCUCCUCGGCCUAUAAAUAAAAGAAUAGGUGAAGGAGUGAAACCCCAUUAAUUGAGAGGAGAUACAUAAAUAUUGUCCAUGGCUGACCUAUUGAACUGUGUUGGGCCUAGGAGGCAGCAGGAAUUCUAUGAAUUGUUUCCUCUCACCGCAAGGUAGCAACUAUGUCUCCGAUUGUCACGGGUGAUAUCUCCCUGAAAUGCUGCUUGCAUUGAUUCUAACGACCUGUCUGGUGUGCAUUGUCGGCGAGAUGGAUCCUAUAGGAGAUGAAGGCGUCGAGGAUCAGAGAAUUCAUCCAUCUAUGUAGUUUUUCAUAGUCUAAUACUGACAGGUUACUCACGAGUGUAUGGGUGCAUGGUAUGAUGACUAUUAUUCUUCGUCAUAAUCUCCGAUGGCUACGCAGGACAUGAACAAGCAGGGGUUUGGCUUGCUACUCGAAAACCACCCACGGUGAGAAUCGUCCAAGAAAGAAUAGGUACACGGGCGUCAAGUGUCGACGGAGAGCUGCCGUGGAGGUGCUGUGGCCGAUGGACCGUGCGGUGGACGGCGGUGAAGGGCAGUCGGGACCGGAGCUCGUGCCGGGCGGCAGCUGUGGCGUCCACUCCUGGAUCGAGGGCGCAAGCGGCGACGGAAGGCGGGUUUCUUGGUUUGCGCCAAAAAACCAAGGAGGCGGACGGCGGUUGAAGACGCCAAGUCGUGGAGGCACGGGCGUCGAUCUCGGGACUGAUGGAGGCGACGGGCGUCGACGGCGUCUAGGGCCUCGCUGCGGGCGAGGAGGUGACGGGCGUCGGGCGGCGUCUAGGGCCAUCAGAAGGCCGAGGCGGGAACGGCGUCUAGGGCCACGGUGUGGAGGCAGGAAUCUUCCCGCGUGUGGAGUUUUGGCGGUUUUCUCAAAAACGGCCACCUACCCGGGUUUCGCGGAUCCCCCAAAAACCGCGAACCGUAUCUUCAUCCACAUGGCGGCAUCGCGGAGAAGACUUCGACUCGAAGAAAGAACUUCGACCGUCGGAUGAGUCCUUGUAUCUUUUUCGGUUUUGCCCCUACGGGCUUUCUAGUGUCUAAUAGAGUAUAGGGGUAGUUUAGUCUUUUAGUCUAGAGUUAGUGAGGGAUGAAUAUCUCCCUCCCUCCCCACUCUCUUCCUCUCUUUUUUUUCCUGGACUCACCAUUCCCGUCGCCCUCUCCCUUUUGCUUUUUCUGGUUCUUCUUUUUCUCCCUCCCUCUCCUCUCCUAGGUUUAGAAAUUUUCCAUGAAUUCUUGAAGACUUGUACUGUGAUUCGAAGGGAAUGGAGGCCCUUCUCUCCUGUGCCCUCGGAGGGUUUUUGAUUUGAGUGAAAUCGAGUUGUUUUUCCUUCUGGGAUUUUGGUUUCCCGUGUUGGUUUUGACCUUGUGCAGGUUGGGGAAGUGGCAUCCGGCCGGUUGGCCGCGGCUCCACGCGUGCUAGUAAGCGGCGCCAGGUCAAGCCGAUCCCUGCCGCGCGCGCGCUCAGGGGCUGCCUGCAGGCCAGCAGCUGCUGCGUUGCUUCCUAGGCAGCGCGUGCUGUACGCGCGGCAGGGGCAUGCAGGCAGGCGGUUGACAGCAUCCAGCACCUGAGCUUGAGCUGGUACAGCGGCUUGCGGCACCCAAGGCAGGCAAGGUUGGCAGGGCAAGCGGCUCCCCAAGCAGCAGCGGCGCACGCACUUGCCAAGCGAGAGGGCACGCAGACUGCUGUGGCCAGAGGCGUUCGCGCUUGCCGGUGCAGGGCUCCUAGUGGAGGAAACGGUAAAAUUCAGCAGCUUUGUGGUUUCGUGUUUGUGUGAUUCUUGUGCAGGGAGACGAAUCGAGUGCGUGUGUGGGAAAUCCCAACUCUGAUCGUGUUCGUUCUUCAUCAGCACAACUCUGCCCGUAAGGUGUUCGAUGAAUUGCUUCACCAGUCUUUUCUUUU
Panicum virgatum (switchgrass) is the source of this 5039-nucleotide long non-coding RNA. RefSeq lists it as uncharacterized. Lineage: Eukaryota; Viridiplantae; Streptophyta; Magnoliopsida; Poales; Poaceae. The record is from RefSeq and is a predicted model, not a curated record. The transcript is spliced from 4 exons.